ACACCUUCACGCGUGCUUACAAUUAAGCAGUCAAUGGAUUAUCAGAAUGGCUGCCGCCUUAGAGUUAAGAUAAUUUUCAGAAACGCGGCGUCACUUAAAAACUUCCUCUGAAUGUUUCUUGAGAUUUACAGCAGAUCAGUCACAUUUCGCUAAUGGGUCACAGAACUACUAAUACAUUACCUUAGUGAUAUGCAUUUUAUCUUUUCUCAUCAAACCAAAGCAGGGGUAGUUAACCUGUCAAACUAUUCAAAUAAGAGGGGAACAUGACAACUAAACAAAUGUAAUUUAGAUAAAGGUGCAAUGAAAACGCCGAAAUAAUGACCUCGGCAGGUGUAGAGUCAAUUCUCCUGACAAGAAGGCCAAAUGGAAUUGUUAAUGUUCAUCUCCACACAAGCUGCCGUGUUGAUCGGUCGCGAUUCAAUUCAAGCUGUCCAGAGUGGUUAAUAAAGAGCGCCUCAAAAUGUUACCAAACACAUUUCUCGUUGCUCUAUUUGCUUCAGUGGUGCUUGGUGCUAGCGGCCUUCCAUUUCACUUAAAAGUACUAUCACAAGAUACAGCAAACAAGGGAACACUGAUAGAAGAUUCUGAACUAUCCGGCUGUCCUGACCCAAGGGAUCUUUCUCAUUGCCUGUUUGAGGCUCUUUAUAAUGACGGAUGUCAAAGACCAGAAGAGAUGAAAAUUAUAUGCAACGAAUUCUGCAGUACACCUUGUUGAAUUUGUUAGAUUACUGUAAUGAAACGACAAUAAAGGGAUAUCGGAUAGGAUAAACACCAAGCUGACUAAAAGUUGAAGUUAACGCUAAAAACAUAUUUCCUACGAGUAGCAUGACCGUUGAAGCUUAACAAAAGACAGAUCGAGAGUCCAAAGAGCCAUGGCCAUUCCAUACCUUUUGUAGGAAUUGUUCGAGCCGUCAGAACUGCGAGAUG
Orbicella faveolata is the source of this 927-nucleotide long non-coding RNA. RefSeq lists it as uncharacterized. The record is from RefSeq and is a predicted model, not a curated record. Lineage: Eukaryota; Metazoa; Cnidaria; Anthozoa; Scleractinia; Merulinidae.